UCACUUCAGGAAUGCAUAUACUAUGAUACAGAGAAGAUUUAGCACACCCCCUGAGUAGGAAUGACCACAAACUCAUGAAGCUUUUCAAAUUUUU
This is a small nuclear RNA of Vulpes vulpes (red fox), 94 nucleotides long. The record is from Ensembl. NCBI's taxonomy places the organism in Eukaryota, Metazoa, Chordata, Mammalia, Carnivora, Canidae.